UAAGAAUAUAUUAAUCAAAUGAAAGUUAUAAGAUUUAAAGUAAAUUAAUAAAAUAAGAAAAUAAAAUAAACUGUGAAGGAGAAAAAGUUAUGAGAUAAUAAUUUACCUUUUGUAUAAGGGUUAAAUUAAAUUUAGUUAAUUAAAAUAUUCCCGAAGUGAAGAGGAAUAUUUGUUUUAUAUAAAUUUAUUGAAUUAAGUUUAAAAAAUGGCAAAUAGAAAUGAAACAUUAACGGUCUUUAAGAUAUCUGGUUAUUAAAAUUAAAUAAAUUAAUAGUUGAGAUUGUUGAGUAAACUUUAAGUAAGAUAUUUUAAUUAUAAAUCUUAAAGGGUAAGCUUUUAAGGAAGUAUUGUGGCUAAAAACUAAAUUUAAAAUAUAAGGCUUAAGAAUAGCUUAAUAAAAAGGUUACACUUUUAUUAAAUUGAUUAAUAUUUAAUUGAAGUUAUGUAAUGAAAAAAUUAAUUUAUUAUAGUUUAAAAAGUAAAAUUAUACUGUUUAAAUUAGUAAGAAAAGAAAUAUAGAAGAAGUAAAUAGGAAGGGUAAAGAUAAUGAAUUCGGCAAAAAUUUUUUAGACUGUUUAACAAAAACAUUUCUUUUAGGUUCUGUUUAAAAGUAAAAUCUGCCCACUGUAAAAUAUAAAGGGCCGCGGUAUUGUGACCGUGCAAAGGUAGCAUAAUCAUUAGUUUUUUAAUUGAAAAAUGGAAUGAAUGAUUAAACUAAAAAAUACUUUAUUAAAGUUUAAAAAUUGAAAUUAGAGUUUAAGUGAAAAUACUUAAGUGAUUUUAGUAGACGAUAAGACCCUUUAGAUCUUUAUUUGAAUAAUUAUACUAGAGAAUAGCGGUGUGAGUAGAGAUAAAGCAAAUUUUGUUGGGGUAACAUAAGAAUAUAAAAAAUUUCUUAAAUAUAAUAAAAGAUUGUUAAUGAUUUAGCUAAUUUUUAAAAUUUAAAAAGUUACCUAAGGGAUAACAGCGUAAUUAAUUUAGAGAGUUCAUAUAGAAAAAUUAGAUUGCGACCUCGAUGUUGAAUUAAGGUGCCUUAUAGGGGCAGUAUUUUAAAGAAGGUGGUUUGUUCAACCAUUAAAUUCUUACAUGAUUUGAGUUCAAACCGGCGUGAGCCAGGUUGGUUUCUAUCUUUAAAUAAAGAAAAAUUGCUUAGUACGAAAGGAUUAGCAAUUAAUAAAAGUUGUAACAA
RNAcentral lists this ribosomal RNA (1189 nucleotides) under Bilobella aurantiaca. Its description in RNAcentral is "16S ribosomal RNA". The stretch from base 530 to 1189 matches the Rfam family "Archaeal large subunit ribosomal RNA", at positions 1423 to 2790 of the family's 2987-position model. Lineage: Eukaryota; Metazoa; Arthropoda; Collembola; Poduromorpha; Neanuridae. The record is from RNAcentral.